Corylus avellana is the source of this 1640-nucleotide RNA transcript. It is a transcript of the gene named mediator of RNA polymerase II transcription subunit, with no coding region annotated. The record is from RefSeq and is a predicted model, not a curated record. Lineage: Eukaryota; Viridiplantae; Streptophyta; Magnoliopsida; Fagales; Betulaceae.
AAGCCCGAAAGCUCAACUAGCCGAGACAGACGCGCACCAAAAAGUCGAAUCGUUCCGGAGCGGAACACUUGGGCCCCGCGAGCAAUGCGGCCACAACAGCCACAGCAUCAGCAGCAACGUCAGCUGGAGGCGGCGCCGAACGCGAACCCGGAUCCUGCGCAGUCAGGGGAGGCGCCGCCAAAGCAGGUAGCUCUGGCCAUGGACAGGCUAGGCGACGCGGCGCGCCUCAUUGCCGACAUCAGGCUUGGCGCCGACCGCCUCCUCGAAGCCCUCUUCGUCGCCGCCCAGCCCCACCAGAGCACCAAGCCCCUCCAUCUGUUCCGCAAAGAGGACGCCUCCAUGCGCCAGCACCUCCAAGACCUCCGCUCCGUCGGAAGGCAGCUAGAGGAGUCUGGGGUUCUGAACGAAUCGCUUCGAUCACGAAGCAAUUCGUGGGGGCUGCACAUGCCGUUGGUCUGCCCGGAUGGCGCUGUGGUUGCAUACGCUUGGAAACGCCAGCUUGCCGGCCAGGCCGGUGCGUCCGCCGUCGAUAGGACGAGGUUGGCUCUCAAGGCCUUCACUGAUCAGAAAAGAAGAUUUUUUCCUCACCUUGAUGAUGGAUUAGAUGGUCAAAGUACCGAAUCAGCUUUAAAGAAACAUUGUGGUCCCCAAGUACUGAUGGGAAAUCAUCAAGAAGAGCUUAGUGAUUAUAAGACAAUAUCAGAUGUUCUACUGCAUUUGGAAAAAGAAGUGCCAACUUUGAAAGUUUUCACUUAUGAACGAUUGGACUGGUUGAAAAGAGCAUCUUCACUGCCCUCUUCAGCAAAUGAGACUUCCAUAGGGACAUCUAAAGAGCAUAAUUUUCACAGUUCAAAUAAACUUAGACCAGGAUCUCUGAGUCCUGUUGCUACAGAGAAAAUUUCUGUAAUUGAGUUGCUCUUUCCCUCCAUCUUCAGAGCUAUUGUAUCACUGCAUCCAGCUGGUUCUAUUGACCCUGACUCAGUCGCUUUCUUUUCUCCGGAUGAGGGAGGCAGCUACAUACAUUCUAGGGGUUUUUCCGUUUAUCAUGUAUUUAGACGCAUCACGGAGCAUGCUGCUAUGGCUCUGCAGUAUUUUCUUGGAAGUCGAGCUGAAACAGCUCUACAUUCUCUUCUGCACUGGAUCUGUAGCUAUCAAACUUUAUUUACGAAGGUUUGCAGCAAGUGUGGACGCCUUCUAUUGAUGGACAGAAAAUCCGCUUUGCUGUUACCUCCUGUUUAUCGUCCUUACCGGCAAUUUUCUGCAUUGAAAAUUUCAUCCACCCAACCCAAUUCCUCAGCAAAGGACACGAGUUCUGAUCUAGCCCAGGCUUAUCAUGUUGGUUGCUUUUCAGAGGAAGCAUAGUCACAUUACAUAUACUGAGAUUGAGAAACUUCAGCCGUGGCCCUUGCCGCCGAAUGAUGCAUACGAUCCUGCUACAUAUAGAUCUUGUUCCUAGAGAGCUGUGCCCGAUGUGAGUGUUAGUCAAGUCCAUGACAACUUUCAGAUGAAGUGACCAUUCUGAAGAUUCCAAGGAAUUGGAGGGGACCCCAAACCCUUUAGCUAUUGAGCUAGACAUGAAUGGUUCAUCUAUUUAUUAUUUUCAAUUUUCAAAAGUCCACUCGAUAUUAGUCCAUGUCUGC